Nerophis ophidion (straightnose pipefish) is the source of this 823-nucleotide long non-coding RNA. RefSeq lists it as uncharacterized. The record is from RefSeq and is a predicted model, not a curated record. The transcript has 3 exons. NCBI's taxonomy places the organism in Eukaryota, Metazoa, Chordata, Actinopteri, Syngnathiformes, Syngnathidae.
CUCAUUCACCAAACAAGAACAGCAGCAAGCAGCCACAACCGCAAGAUCCACUCAACAAGUUUCUCCAAACACACCAAUGGCCGUGAGAUUAUAUGGUCAUACCUGAAAUUCAGAGGGGUGUGGUGACCGCCAGUGUCUUCGAUUGAAGCCACGUUUUUCGAUGAGGCAAGUUGAAGCAUCCGGCGGCCGCUGGGAGGAGGCAAGAGAGUCCGCAGCUGCAGAAGGCGAGGCACGACGCAAGUUCUUCGCUCAUAACUACGCAGCGGUAAUGGAAGAGGACUGUAAAUAAGUGGAAGGUUCUUGACAAAUGAAUCCAUUAACAUUUGCCUGUGUCGCCUGGCGAGCAGAUUUGCUGUUUUAUGGAGCAGGAAAAAGGCAGCCAGUAAAUCUGAGGGUGCUGUAAGGGCGAGACGGCGAGAGCAGGACCGGGGAACACAUCUCCCAUGAUGCAGCACUUUAUCUCCCUCCCAAAUGGCAUCUUUAUCUGCUUAAAUGAAGUUUUGAUUCCUUGCCACAUACGGUGCCGCAAAUCACUUUUAAUACUGAUAUCAAGAGCGGCAGUAAAGUGGGCCCAAAGCCGUGGCCAGCAGCUUUAUUGUGGAACACACACGCACACACACACACACACACACACUCUGAGUCACCCCUCUUUGUUUUUGUGUGUACUCACUGACUGGACCGAGCGCAGAUGUCCACUUUAACUUUGGGACAGAGCAAGGCAUGUCUAAAGCUGGAUUUUUAUUGGCCCCCAGUAUAUCCUGUAAAUACCAUAAAUGCAUUAUUAUUGACACAUGCACGUGUUAUUAGAUUGGACACUGAGUUG